CGGCGCCAUGUUACAGUGAAUUCAGUCCCGGUGGAUCUCUGAAGAUGGCGGCAGCUGCGGCCAUAGGAGGAAGGCCAAAUUAUUACGGGAACGAAGGUGGCCGGGCCCCGAAGAGACAGAAGACUGACGGAGUUGAGGACAACGUGGCGGCUACAGCGGAAGGAUACGAUGACCCUCACAAGACCGCGGCCUCUCCGGUGGUCCAUGUGAGGGGGCUUAUUGACGGGGUUGUGGAGACAGAUCUUGCAGAAGCUUUGCAGGAAUUUGGAGCAAUCAGUUAUGUCGUGGUAAUGCCUAAGAAGAGACAGGCUCUUGUUGAAUUUGAGGAUAUUAAUGGUGCAUGCAACGCUGUGAACUAUGCAGCAGACAACCAAAUCUAUGUUGCAGGGCAUCCAGCGUUUGUAAACUAUUCAACUAGCCAAAAGAUCUCCCGUCCCACAGAUACAGCCGAUGAUUCCCGGGGGGUUAAUAAUGUUUUGCUCUUAACUAUUCUGAAUCCAAUCUAUUCCAUAACUACGGAUGUGCUGUAUACCAUCUGUAAUCCUUGUGGACCUGUCGAGAGGAUUGUUAUUUUCAGAAAGAAUGGAGUCCAGGCCAUGGUGGAAUUUGACUCUGUGCAAAGUGCUCAGCGUGCCAAGGCUUCUCUCAAUGGGGCUGACAUUUACUCUGGAUGUUGUACACUAAAGAUUGAAUAUGCCAAGCCUUCUCGACUGAAUGUCUUCAAAAAUGACCAGGACACAUGGGAUUACACAAAUCCUGGCUUGAGUGGACAAGGUGAUGCUGCGGGUAACCCAAACAAGAGGCAGAGGAACCCACCACUGUUGGGAGACCAUCCUGCGGAGUACGGAGGUCCUCAUGCAGGUUAUCAUGGGCACUACCAUGAGGAGGCAUAUGGCCCCCCGCCCCCACACUAUGAAAGUCGUAGAAUGGGCCCCCCUCCUGUUGGUGCUCCUCGGAGGGGCCCAUCCCGUUAUGCUCCACAAUAUGGGCAUCCUCCACCUCCACCACCAGAAUAUGCCCCACAUGCCGACAGUCCAGUACUGAUGGUAUAUGGUUUAGACCCCUCAAAGUUGAACUGUGAUCGAGUCUUUAAUAUCUUCUGCCUGUAUGGUAAUUUGGAAAAGGUUAAAUUCAUGAAGAGUAAACCUGGAGCGGCUAUGGUGGAGAUGGCUGAUGGAUAUGCUGUUGACCGUGCCGUUACACACCUAAACAACAAUUUUAUGUUUGGUCAAAAACUAAGUGUUUGUGUUUCAAAGCAACAGUCUAUUGUGCCUGGACAGUCCUAUGGCUUGGAAGAUGGUUCCUGCAGUUUUAAAGUCUUCAGUGGGUCCCGUAACAACAGAUUUACAUCCGCAGAGCAGGCUGCAAAGAACAGAAUCCAACAGCCCAGCAGUGUGCUUCACUUCUUCAAUGCCCCCCCUGAUGUGACAGAGGAUAACUUUAUUGAGAUGUGUGAUGAACUGGGUGUUAAGAAGCCAGCCUCAAUCAAAAUUUUCUCUGGAAAAAGUGAGAGAAGCUCUUCUGGACUUCUGGAGUGGGAUUCUAAGAGUGAAGCACUGGAGACUCUUGGCUUCAUGAAUCAUUACCAGAUGAAAAAUCCAAGUGAGUAGAGCACAACAUGCUAAACGUCAUCAAGCCACACACACAUACACAAGUGAUCGGCAAUAAUCAUCAUUCUAAUGUAACUAUAGCUAUUCAAAGUACAUUGGUGCUUGAGAAACCAAUCAAAUGUUCUAAUUUAUAAUAAGCCUUGCAUAGAUUGAUUUGAUUUCUAAUCCACAAAAGUAGGCUCGAAAGGCUUGCUUAUUUUGUUUUGAGAUUUACUUAAACUGCAUGUUCUAUCUGUGAAGCUGUGGUAGUGUUCUGCAGUUCUGGUCUGCAAAGGCCCUUAUGUCUUAAAUGAGGCAAGAGCUGAGCAGUUUGACUUUCCAUGUAGCCUUAUCGGUGUUUGAUGUUGAGUAAUCUAGGAGCUCUACCAGCAUAUGGCUAGUUUUGGUUCAUAGGCUUUUAAUACUUACUGUGUAUUUUACGUGUUAAAAGUUGUUGAUAUUAUAAUUCAUAGUUCAGCUUGCUAAAGCACCUUAUGUAAAGGUUUUAGGCAUGUGCUACCUUCUACACAACCUCAUCCAGUAGUGCCAGAACUGUCUUAGAUUUCUAAAGUGGAGGAAUAAAAAAUAGCUCUCUUCUAUUGUUAGAAAGCUUGAGACCUUCAUUUUUUAAGAAACAUAUCAAAUCAUAUGUUGGUUAAAAAAAAAAAAAAAAACCUUGUCUAAUCUUUUUUUUUUUUCUUGCAGAUGGUCCUUACCCAUACACUCUAAAACUGUGCUUCUCCACUGCUCAGCAUGCCUCCUAACGACCUAC
Molecule: RNA transcript, 2361 nt
Organism: Xenopus laevis (African clawed frog)
Lineage: Eukaryota; Metazoa; Chordata; Amphibia; Anura; Pipidae
Gene: hnrnpl.L
Gene name: heterogeneous nuclear ribonucleoprotein L L homeolog
Exons: 13
Source: RefSeq, a predicted model, not a curated record